AAUGAACGCUGGCGGCAUGCCUAACACAUGCAAGUCGAACGAGCGCACGAGAAGCUUUCGCUCCUGCGGGUGGCGGCGGACGGAUGAGUAACACAUGGAUCGCCUACCUCUUAGACUGGGGUGAUAUCGGGGGACAACAUCUACUAACGCAUCAUAUAUCGAACUGCAUGGUGCAAGAGUUAAAGUCGCUUUUGGUGACAGUAAUAGCUGGAUCCGGGUUGCAUUAGUUAGUUGGUAAGGUCACGGCUUAGCAACGCUACGAUGCAUAGCCGACCUGAGGGGGUGAUCGGACACACUGGAACUGAGACACGGUCCAGACUCCUACGGGAGGCAGCAGUAGGGAAUCUUACGCAAUGGGCGAAAGCCUGAUGGAGCAACACCGCGUGAGUGAUGAAGGUCUUCGGCUCGUAAAGCUCUGUUGUUAGGAAAGAAAAAAAGCGUAUUUAACUGUGCAUAUAUUGACGGUACCUAAAGAAUAAGCACCGGCUAACUUCGUG
Molecule: ribosomal RNA, 497 nt
Filed under: uncultured bacterium
Lineage: Bacteria
Description: partial 16S ribosomal RNA
Rfam family: Bacterial small subunit ribosomal RNA
Source: RNAcentral